CCUACGGGCGGCUGCAGUGGGGAAUAUUGGACAAUGGGGGCAACCCUGAUCCAGCCAUGCCGCGUGUGUGAAGAAGGCCCUCGGGUUGUAAAGCACUUUCAGUGAGGAAGAACGCCUGGUGGUUAAUACCCAUCAGGAAAGACAUCACUCACAGAAGAAGCACCGGCUAACUCCGUGCCAGCAGCCGCGGUAAUACGGAGGGUGCGAGCGUUAAUCGGAAUUACUGGGCGUAAAGCGCGCGUAGGUGGCUUGAUAAGCCGGUUGUGAAAGCCCCGGGCUCAACCUGGGAACGGCAUCCGGAACUGUCAAGCUAGAGUGCAGGAGAGGAAGGUAGAAUUCCCGGUGUAGCGGUGAAAUGCGUAGAGAUCGGGAGGAAUACCAGUGGCGAAGGCGGCCUUCUGGACUGACACUGACACUGAGGUGCGAAAGCGUGGGUAGCAAACAGGAUUUAGAUACCCGAGUAGUC
This 466-nucleotide ribosomal RNA is filed under the name Vreelandella stevensii. RNAcentral's name for it is "partial 16S ribosomal RNA". It matches the Rfam family "Bacterial small subunit ribosomal RNA", at positions 338 to 795 of the family's 1533-position model. The record is from RNAcentral. Lineage: Bacteria; Pseudomonadati; Pseudomonadota; Gammaproteobacteria; Oceanospirillales; Halomonadaceae.